This 1538-nucleotide ribosomal RNA is filed under the name invertebrate metagenome. RNAcentral's name for it is "eukaryotic LSU rRNA". It matches the Rfam family "Eukaryotic large subunit ribosomal RNA", at positions 868 to 2394 of the family's 3401-position model. The record is from RNAcentral.
UGGAGGUCCGUUGCGGUGUUGACGUGCAAAUCGCUCGUCAAAGCUGGGUAUAGGGGCGAAAGACCCAUCGAACCAUCUAGUAGCUGGUUCACUCCGAAGUUUCCCUCAGGAUAGCUGGAACCAAUAAAGGAGUUGCGCCAGGUAAAGCGAAUGAUUGGAGGCAUUGGGGAAAUCUCUUCCUCGACCUAUUCUCAAACUUUAAAUGGGCGCGAACUUGGGGUUUCUUCAUUGAACCCUGACGCAGAAUCCUGGUUCCAAGUGGGCCACUUCUGGUAAGCAGGACUGGCGACGCGGGAUGAACCGAGAGCUGACUUAAGGUAUCCGAGUGGUCGCUCAUCAGAUCCCACAAAGGGUGUCGGUUCAUCUAGACAGCAGGACGGUGGCCAUGGAAGUCGGCAUCCGAUAAUGAGUGUGUAACAACUCACCUGCCGAAUGAACCGGUCCCGAAAAUGGAUGAUGCUCAAGCGAUCCACCCAUAGUCGGCCGUGCUCCGGUAUUGAAAAGCCGUGGCAUGAGUAGGAGUGCGUGAUCCACGCCGCGAAGGGGUUGGCGUGAGCCUCCCUGGAGCGUGGAUGAGUGCAGAUCUUGGUUGUAGUAGCGAAUAUUCAAUGGAGAACAUUGAAGGCCGAAGUGGAGAAGGUUUCCGUGUCAACAGCAGUUGGACACGGGUCAGUCGGUCCUAAGGCAAGGUGUAAUUGCUCGCCUCAAAGCCAUCAUGGCCCCUCGGGGACGUGUGGGUUUGCCGAAAGGGAAUGCGGGAACAUUCCGCAACCUGGACACAGAGAACUGAAGUGGCAACACAGUGACAAUCCUGGCAACCGUGCCCGUUGGCCCCGGAUGAUGUAGUCGUCUCUUUUUGAAGGACUGGUUGACCCUUGAAGCACUUCGCGUGGGGACAGGGUGAACUAUCCUGGAAAGGUGCACUUUUCUUGUGCGCUAGGGUGUCUAGCGGGUGCGCAUGGAAAAGCCAGGGGAGAUCUCUUUCUCUUGUGCCAGGCCGUACCGUUAACCGCAAUAGGUCUCCUAGGCUAAAAGCCUCUGGCCGACAGAACAAUGUAGGUAAGGGAAGUCGGCAAACUAGAUCCGUAACUUCGGGAAAAGGAUUGGCUCCGAGGGCACCUACAGAGGUCGGUGUAGUUUGUGUGGGGGUCCAGACUAAAGCAAUUGCAGCGAGCACCCUCGGGAGUUCGCUGCGAAUGUGGCCGUCUUCUCUGCACUGCUGCAUGUCUGUCUUUGUAAUGAAGUGUCAACUUGGAACUGUUACGAACAAGAGGAAUCCAACUGGUUAAUUAAACCACAGCAUGUCGCUUCAUCACAGCGGUGGCGAGUGGCAUGUGACUUCUGCCCAGUGCCCUGAAUGUCAACGCUGAGAGAUCAGGUCAAGCGCGGGUAAACGGCGGGAGUAACUAUGACUCUCUUAAGGUAGCCAAAUGCCUCGUCUUCUAAUUAAAGACGCGCAUGAAUGGACCAAUGAGAUUCCUUCUGUCCCUACCUACUAUCUGGCGAAACAGCAGUCAAGGGAACGGACUUGAAACUGU